UACGUAGGGGGCAAGCGUUGUCCGGAUUUACUGGGCGUAAAGCGCGCGCAGGCGGUCUCUUAAGUCUGCUGUGAAAGCCCACGGCUCAACCGUGGAAGGUCAUUGGAAACUGGGAGACCUGAGUGUGGGAGAGGAAAGUGGAAUUCCACGUGUAGCGGUGAAAUGCGUAGAGAUGUGGAGGAACCCCAGUGGCGAAGGCGACUUUCUGGCCUAUAACUGACGCUGAGGCGCGAAAGCGUGGGGAGCAAACAGG
This 253-nucleotide ribosomal RNA is filed under the name uncultured bacterium. RNAcentral's name for it is "partial 16S ribosomal RNA". It matches the Rfam family "Bacterial small subunit ribosomal RNA", at positions 524 to 776 of the family's 1533-position model. The record is from RNAcentral.